GUGAACUCAGCGUUUGUCUACGUAUUGGUGCGAGAAGGUGGGGUUCACGGACAAUUCAUUAAAUCUUGGUGGGCAGAGGGUCAUCCCGUAACCUGUAAAAUGUUCCCUAUUGCAAGAGUAGCGACUGGGGUGCGCCAGCUCUCCACAUCGGCUGUCCGGCGCGCGGGAGUUGCCGAUUAUGGCGGCAUCCCGAUGGCGAACUGGCCUUUCAGCGUAAAGAACAGAUUUGCCCUCACUCUGGGCUUCAUCCUGUUCUGCGGCAGUGGAUUUUCAGUCCCCUUUGUCAUGGUCAGACAUCAGCUGUUGAAAAAGUAAAGACACCAGUGGACCAAAUGCUGCAGUAAAUCUGCCUCCGGUGGGUUCCGGAUGAAUGGGAGCUCCGUGAAUGUGAACAUAUUACCCACUCAUUGAAAAUGAUUGUGUAAUAAUACAUGUGAAUAGAACCGUG
Molecule: long non-coding RNA, 448 nt
Organism: Pollicipes pollicipes
Lineage: Eukaryota; Metazoa; Arthropoda; Thecostraca; Pollicipedomorpha; Pollicipedidae
Exons: 3
Source: RefSeq, a predicted model, not a curated record